This 501-nucleotide ribosomal RNA is filed under the name uncultured bacterium. RNAcentral's name for it is "partial 16S ribosomal RNA". It matches the Rfam family "Bacterial small subunit ribosomal RNA", at positions 30 to 523 of the family's 1533-position model. The record is from RNAcentral.
AUUGAACGCUGGCGGCAGGCUUAACACAUGCAAGUCGAGCGGGGGAAGGUAGCUUGCUACCGGACCUAGCGGCGGACGGGUGAGUAAUGCUUAGGAAUCUGCCUAUUAGUGGGGGACAACAUCUCGAAAGGGAUGCUAAUACCGCAUACGUCCUACGGGAGAAAGCAGGGGAUCCUCGGACCUUGCGCUAAUAGAUGAGCCUAAGUCGGAUUAGCUAGUUGGUGGGGUAAAGGCCUACCAAGGCGACGAUCUGUAGCGGGUCUGAGAGGAUGAUCCGCCACACUGGGACUGAGACACGGCCCAGACUCCUACGGGAGGCAGCAGUGGGGAAUAUUGGACAAUGGGGGGAACCCUGAUCCAGCCAUGCCGCGUGUGUGAAGAAGGCCUUAUGGUUGUAAAGCACUUUAAGCGAGGAGGAGGCUACUUUAGUUAAUACCUAGAGAUAGUGGACGUUACUCGCAGAAUAAGCACCGGCUAACUCUGUGCCAGCCGCCGCUGUAA